AAGACAACAGCUGUUAAUGAGUGCAGUUUGCUGGCAAGUUUGUGGCCCUGCACCCGCAACUUUUACCAAGGAGUCAUUGUUCUCAAUCCGAGUGCAACUCCACUCGCAAUUUACGCAUCUGGCACCCCGCAAUCGCUGCUGACGCCCGCUUAGUUAAUAUUGGCCAAGUUUAUGGCAAGUGGAAAAGUUUAGCUCGAGCACCCACCUCCCGUCCCCCUACCACUCACACUUUCAGAUUCUAGAUCCUAACUCCUAACUCCUACCAAGUGGCUGCAAGUGAUAUGGGUAGCACUAUUGAUUUACCGUUGCUCAAAGCCAUCUUCUGACUAGACCCGCUGACGCUAAAGCCCUGACAUCAGACGUCGCGCCGAUGUCGCUGUCGCUGGCCAUUCCCCCGCUCUCCGCUCUUACAGCACAGUCGUGGCCGUCGCCAUGUCUGCUGCCAGCAGCGAACGGAAACGGAAGUCGGAGCAACUGAAGCGGACUCCAAGGACACUCGCGCAUCGAAGCGCUGAUGCCCUGCGGCAGUGGAAUAAGUUAAAUCGCAAUUUUGGCCGAACAGUGCAAGCU
Non-coding RNA from Drosophila melanogaster (fruit fly), 570 nucleotides. The record is from Ensembl. Lineage: Eukaryota; Metazoa; Arthropoda; Insecta; Diptera; Drosophilidae.